Molecule: ribosomal RNA, 798 nt
Filed under: Triticum aestivum (bread wheat)
Lineage: Eukaryota; Viridiplantae; Streptophyta; Magnoliopsida; Poales; Poaceae
Description: partial small subunit ribosomal RNA
Source: RNAcentral
AUGGGAGCAGCAACGGCUCGCUCCCCCGACCCCGAGCCCGCGCCCCUCCACCAGCCCCCACCGGCGGUGGCCACCCCGGCCCAGCCGACCACCCUCUCAGCAUCUCGCGUACUCCCUCGCCCACGGCCGCGGCCCCCUGCCUGUAGGAUUCGAGUGGAGAAUGGAGGUCAGAGGGAGGUCCAGGUCAGCCGCUCGCGCUCCUCCAAGGCUGCGUCGACGACCACUCCGGCUCCGCCGCCCGCCACCCCCGCCUCCAUUGUCGGCUCCGUCUCCACUGAGCCACCGGAGCCUCGGGCGUCCCCCAACGUUGGGCUCCCCCAGCUCGAUCCAGAUCAGGCGGAUCUGGAUUCCGUCUCCCUGUCGCCUCCGGCUGGCCGGAGCCCUGCUCCUGCUGAUGUGACGGAAGUUCUGCUUGGGGCCAAGAGUGGCUGCACAGCCGUUGUUGGUGAGAAGGAGGUGGAGUUGGCUCUGCUGUUGCAUCCGGCGGCCACACAUGGCCUCGUCCCCUGUCUGCAGAUCCUGCCUUGCCCCGAUGUUGGGGAUGGGGCCGAAGUUGUUGCCUUGGUUACGCAGUCGCCGCCGGGUGAAGAUGCUGAGUUCGUGUCGUGCAUGCCGCUGACCGUCGCCGAAGGCCGCACUUCCGGCGCUGCAAUGAUGGGGGAGCUGGCGCCGCUGGCGAUGAAUGCUGCUAUGGAUUGUGUGUCGUCCGCUUCUUCCUUUUCCGUGCCGUCUUCUUGUGAUACAGCGCAGGCUGUGGAUGCUCAGCCUGGGGAAGGUCCUUGGAUUUUCAUAGGAUGA